RNAcentral lists this long non-coding RNA (223 nucleotides) under Elaeis guineensis (African oil palm). RNAcentral describes it as "long non-coding RNA (EGUI_LNC028779)". Lineage: Eukaryota; Viridiplantae; Streptophyta; Magnoliopsida; Arecales; Arecaceae. The record is from RNAcentral.
GUGCUACUAACUUUCUUCUAAUUCUAUAACCGGAGCGUUCAUUUUGGUCAACCAAAUCCAAUCACGUCCUCUUCUCGAGCCAUCAGCCUCACCAACCCUCAUUAACAACUGCUCUCCACCUGGCCUGCAUCACUAUACAAUAAACCAGACGAGACCGGAGGAUUAUUCCGCUUUGGCUAGAGCGGAACAAACCCGUGGUGCCGCAGUCACACGUUUGAGAAAU